This 458-nucleotide ribosomal RNA is filed under the name uncultured bacterium. RNAcentral's name for it is "partial 16S ribosomal RNA". It matches the Rfam family "Bacterial small subunit ribosomal RNA", at positions 338 to 795 of the family's 1533-position model. The record is from RNAcentral.
CCUACGGGAGGCAGCAGUGGGGAAUAUUGCACAAUGGGGGAAACCCUGAUGCAGCGACGCCGCGUGAGUGAAGAAGUAAUUCGUUACGUAAAGCUCUAUCAGCAGGGAAGAAACACUGACCUUACGGUCAGCAGACGGUACCUGAGUAAGAAGCCCCGGCUAACUACGUGCCAGCAGCCGCGGUAAUACGUAGGGGGCAAGCGUUAUCCGGAUUUACUGGGUGUAAAGGGAGCGUAGACGGCGAGGCAAGUCUGGAGUGAAAGCCCGGGGCUCAACCCCGGGACUGCUUUGGAAACUGCCUGGCUAGAGUGCUGGAGAGGCAAGCGGAAUUCCUAGUGUAGCGGUGAAAUGCGUAGAUAUUAGGAAGAACACCAGUGGCGAAGGCGGCUUGCUGGACAGUAACUGACGUUGAGGCUCGAAAGCGUGGGGAGCAAACAGGAUUAGAUACCCGAGUAGUC